This 462-nucleotide ribosomal RNA is filed under the name uncultured bacterium. RNAcentral's name for it is "SSU rRNA". It matches the Rfam family "Bacterial small subunit ribosomal RNA", at positions 26 to 518 of the family's 1533-position model. The record is from RNAcentral.
AAGACGAACGCUUGCGACGUGCCUAAGAAAUGCAAGUCGAACGGGGGUAGCAAUACCUAGUGGCGAACGGUCGCGUAACACGUGGGCAACCUGCCUUGAAGCGGGGGACAACAAUCCGAAAGGGUUGCUAAUACCGCAUGUGAACUUUUGUGGCAUCACGAAAUGUUCAAAGCUUUAUGCACUUCAAGAUGGGCCCGCGGCCUAUCAGCUAGUUGGUGGGGUAACGGCCUACCAAGGCUUCGACGGGUAGCUGGUCUGAGAGGACGAUCAGCCCGGAUUGGGACUGAGAUACGGCCCAGACUCCUACGGGGGGCAGCAAUUAGGAAUCUUGCGCAAUGGGGGCAACCCUGACGCAGCGACGUCGCGUGGAGGAUGAAAUCUUUCGGGAUGUAACUCCUUUACCAGGGAAGAAAAAUGACGGUACUGGUGAAUAAGCCCGGCUAACUACGUGCCAGCAGCCGC